CUCUAGCUUCUCCCAAAGACCUCUCAUCAUGGUCUUCGUGUUGACCUUCGAUAAAACCUGAUCCGUUAGACACAUCCUGAUUAUGCUGAAGGCAAUCUCCUUCAGCUCCUCCCAAUCCUUAGCACUAAUCUUUUUCGAUCUCUCUCUUACCAAGAUCUUAUAGAUCUGCUACUGCACCAACAAAUCCUUAACCUACUGUUGCCACA
RNAcentral lists this long non-coding RNA (206 nucleotides) under Elaeis guineensis (African oil palm). RNAcentral describes it as "long non-coding RNA (EGUI_LNC049481)". The record is from RNAcentral. Lineage: Eukaryota; Viridiplantae; Streptophyta; Magnoliopsida; Arecales; Arecaceae.